This 61-nucleotide non-coding RNA is filed under the name unclassified sequences. The record is from Rfam.
UCACGUUGAGCUUCGAUCUCGGAGCUGCAGUCAGACCCACGCCAGGCAACGGGGGCAUGGG